UGAAGGAAAAGCUAGCUAGAAAAAACUUAAGUGCAUGCAUGGCAAGAGGCAUAAACAGGAUGACGGUGAGGUAGAUAACGGGAUUGGAGUUGAUGUAUGGGGAUUUUAUUACGUUUGGAUUCCUGACUGACUGCUUUGGAAAACGUGGAGUCACGACACAGGCCCAAUCCCAAACCGGCCCCUGUCCCCUCGCCCUAUUCACUCCCCCUCCGUUUGCGCGGUCACGCGGAGCUCCGCCAUACUAAGGGCCGUCCCAAACCAAUUAUCACUGAGUGCGAGUGGACUGCUCAGCCCUUAGAUAGCUAGUGUGCAUCAGUGCAGGCUUCUGAUGAGCCCAGCAGGAAGCGCAACAUCACAAUGGAGGAAACAACGUACAAAUG
Long non-coding RNA from Epinephelus moara (kelp grouper), 380 nucleotides. RefSeq lists it as uncharacterized. The transcript has 2 exons. Lineage: Eukaryota; Metazoa; Chordata; Actinopteri; Perciformes; Serranidae. The record is from RefSeq and is a predicted model, not a curated record.